Molecule: ribosomal RNA, 301 nt
Filed under: uncultured bacterium
Lineage: Bacteria
Description: partial 16S ribosomal RNA
Rfam family: Bacterial small subunit ribosomal RNA
Source: RNAcentral
CAGUCGCCACGGUAAUACGUAGGGUGCGAGCGUUAAUCGGAAUUACUGGGCGUAAAGCGUGCGCAGGCGGUUAUAUAAGACAGAUGUGAAAUCCCCGGGCUCAACCUGGGACCUGCAUUUGUGACUGUAUAGCUAGAGUACGGUAGAGGGGGAUGGAAUUCCGCGUGUAGCAGUGAAAUGCGUAGAUAUGCGGAGGAACACCGAUGGCGAAGGCAAUCCCCUGGACCUGUACAGACGCUCAUGCACGAAAGCGUGGGGAGCAAGCAGGAUUAGAUACCCCCGUAGUCCCUGUCUCUUAUAC